GACGAACGCUGGCGGCGUGCUUAACACAUGCAAGUCGAACGCUGAAGCUCAGCUUUUGUCGGGUGGAUGAGUGGCGAACGGGUGAGUAACACGUGAGUAACCUGCCUCCUUCUUUGGGAUAACGCCCGGAAACGGGUGCUAAUACUGGAUAUUCACUGGUCUUCGCAUGGGGGUUGGUGGAAAGGGUUUUUCUGGUGGGGGAUGGGCUCGCGGCCUAUCAGCUUGUUGGUGGGGUGAUGGCCUACCAAGGCUUUGACGGGUAGCCGGCCUGAGAGGGUGACCGGUCACAUUGGGACUGAGAUACGGCCCAGACUCCUACGGGAGGCAGCAGUGGGGAAUAUUGCACAAUGGGCGCAAGCCUGAUGCAGCGACGCCGCGUGAGGGAUGGAGGCCUUCGGGUUGUGAACCUCUUUCGCUCAUGGUCAAGCCGCAACAAUGGUUGUGGUGAGGGUAGUGGGUAAAGAAGCGCCGGCUAACUACGUG
This 483-nucleotide ribosomal RNA is filed under the name uncultured bacterium. Its description in RNAcentral is "partial 16S ribosomal RNA". It matches the Rfam family "Bacterial small subunit ribosomal RNA", at positions 28 to 507 of the family's 1533-position model. The record is from RNAcentral.